Molecule: transfer RNA, 72 nt
Filed under: Muntiacus reevesi (Reeves' muntjac)
Lineage: Eukaryota; Metazoa; Chordata; Mammalia; Artiodactyla; Cervidae
Also listed under: 4 other names
Rfam family: tRNA
About the family: Transfer RNA (tRNA) molecules are approximately 80 nucleotides in length. Their secondary structure includes four short double-helical elements and three loops (D, anti-codon, and T loops). Further hydrogen bonds mediate the characteristic L-shaped molecular structure. tRNAs have two regions of fundamental functional importance: the anti-codon, which is responsible for specific mRNA codon recognition, and the 3' end, to which the tRNAs corresponding amino acid is attached (by aminoacyl-tRNA synthetases). tRNAs cope with the degeneracy of the genetic code in two manners: having more than one tRNA (with a specific anti-codon) for a particular amino acid; and 'wobble' base-pairing, i.e. permitting non-standard base-pairing at the 3rd anti-codon position.
Source: Rfam by way of RNAcentral
UCCCUGGUGGCUCAGAUGGUAAAGCGUCUGCCUACAAUGCAGGAGACCUGGGUUUGAUCCCUGGGUUGGGAA